This 1580-nucleotide unclassified non-coding RNA is filed under the name Acyrthosiphon pisum (pea aphid). RNAcentral's name for it is "solute carrier family 15 member 2-like, transcript variant X1". The record is from RNAcentral. Lineage: Eukaryota; Metazoa; Arthropoda; Insecta; Hemiptera; Aphididae.
AUUUGCUUAUAUUAUAUUGUGUUCGUGUGUGUAUAAUAUUUUUAGAAAUCAAUUGUAUUAGUAAUGGAAAAUAGUUUAUUUAAAGAGAAUAAGACAUUAUUAAACCCACCUUCAGUAGUACUUGUGCCGGAAAAUGUAUACAUGACUUCAAAAAAAAACCAUUCAUAUUUAAUACAUAUAAUUGUUCCAUUAAAUGAAGACAGCAAAAUAUGGUUACACAUCAAAAAACUAACACUUGAGUCCUUGUCUAAUAAUAAGAUAACGAUUUUCGAGGAAGCACAGUAUCCCGUUUCUCAAUUUCAAAAUAAUACAGUUUUAAAAAUUCCUGCUGGUUUGUACACGCUGACGAUACAUUAUAUGGAUAAAAAGCAGCAGCCGAUAUCAAGGAAUGUCUUGAAUCUUGAAACCAAUCGUAUUUACACAUAUAGAAAUGAACAUAAAAUUAAUUCUAAAUUACAAUCAAAUACAGUUGUGCAGACCCGCGUUUUAAGUAAAGAGUGGUUAUUACCUCAAUUCAUUUGUAUGACAUUCGGCGAGACAUUGUUUACCAUGACUGGAUUAUCAUUUUCUUUCUCAGAAACUCCCGAAUCGAUGAAAACCGUGUCAAUAUCAAUGUGGUAUUUUUGCGUAGCUCUCGGGAAUUUGAUUGUAAUUUUCAUCAACAAAUUUGUAGCGUUUGAAAAGAAAUGUGUUUUGAAACCAGUCCAACAUGUUCUUCAUGUUCGCUUUCAUUGCGGUUUUAACGAUAAUCGCCACCUGCAAAUGGAGUAACAAGUACGAAAAGUUAUAUCACGAAAAUAAAACAGACACGGAAAAUGAGAGCGAUAGUGAUAACGUCAAUUUAGUAAUGUUAUUAAAAAAGGAGAGUUAUCAACUAUCGUUUUGAAAACUAAGAGAUUAUAAUUUAAGACAAUUAUCAGCAAACAAUAUAUUGAGCCUAAAAUGUUAUAAUAUCAAAUUCUUCGAAAACGGCGAUAAUAAUGUAAAGAUCUUAAAUGCAUUUAAAUAUUUUUAUUUAGCUAUUACCUAUCUAUUGGUAUUGUGUUUGUUUAUAUAAUGUUAUAUAAUAUUUAAAAUAUUGUACAUUUUUAAUAUACCGUAUAAAAGCUUAGGUACACCAAAUUAUUGUUUGUUUAUUGUUGUUUAUUUCUUCAAAAAAAUAAUAGGCUCCACUUGAACGGGUUCGUGGGGGGGGGGGGAGUUCACAAUCUCCCUGAUCAUCCACAAUCAUGAGCUCACAAUUUACAAAAAUAUGUAUUAUAUUAAUAUUAAGUAUUUAAAAUAUACGCCUUAUUUUAGAUUCUGAGUGGAGCGAGGAAUGUAUUGGUUUUACCAUGAUGUUUAUUUCUUUUUUUAUUCUGUAAACACUUUUUCUCCUUGCUCAAAAGUUUCAAGUGUAGCAUCUUUUCUGAAAGGUAAUGUUCUUGAGCUAGUACUUUAAACAGGUCAUUUUUCGAUUUUCGAAACGGUACUCGAAAUAAAAGUACGAUUUCACGAUUUUAUAAUAUUAAAUAAUUACGGACGACGUUUUCUACCAGAAAUAUUGCUUCAAAUGAAAAAUGACCAGGAGCGGAUAGGCC